This 253-nucleotide ribosomal RNA is filed under the name uncultured bacterium. RNAcentral describes it as "partial 16S ribosomal RNA". It matches the Rfam family "Bacterial small subunit ribosomal RNA", at positions 524 to 776 of the family's 1533-position model. The record is from RNAcentral.
UACGUAGGGUGCAAGCAUUAAUCGGAUUUAUUGGGCGUAAAGGGCGCGUAGGCGGGAAGAUAAGUCAGAUGUGAAAGCCCGGGGCUCAACCCCGGAACAGCAUUUGAAACUAUUUUUCUAGAGGGUAGGCGGAGAAAAUGGAAUUCCACAAGUAGCGGUGAAAUGCGUAGAUAUGUGGAAGAACACCAGUGGCGAAGGCGGUUUUCUAGCUUAUACCUGACGCUGAGGCGCGAAAGCAAGGGGAGCAAACAGG